GGCAGUAUGGCGUAGUGGUAAGGAGCAGGAUUCAUAACCCAAAGGUCAUGGCUUCCAUUCCCAUUUGGGCCA
Non-coding RNA from Megalops atlanticus (tarpon), 72 nucleotides. The record is from the annotation of a GenBank genome assembly. Lineage: Eukaryota; Metazoa; Chordata; Actinopteri; Elopiformes; Megalopidae.